This 404-nucleotide ribosomal RNA is filed under the name uncultured bacterium. RNAcentral's name for it is "partial 16S ribosomal RNA". It matches the Rfam family "Bacterial small subunit ribosomal RNA", at positions 28 to 526 of the family's 1533-position model. The record is from RNAcentral.
GACGAACGCUGGCGGCGUGCUUAACUCAUGCAAGUCGAGCGGAGCGGCGAACGGGCGAGUAACGCGUGAGUAACUGCCCCCCUCUCUGGGAUAACAGUUGGAAACGGCUGCUAAUACCGGAUAGUUGGGGAUGAGUCGCGUCCUAUCAGCUUGUUGGUGGGGUAGUGUCAUACCAAGGCGACGACGGGUAGCCGGCCUGGGAGGGCGACCGGCCACAUGGGGCUGGGAUACGAGCCAAACGCCUACGUGAGGCAGCGGUGGGGAAUAUUGCACAAUGGGGGAAAGCCUGUGGCAGCAACGCGCGUGCGGAAGGACGGCCAUCGGGUUGUAAACGUCUUUCAGCCAUGACGCGUUAGUGGCAGAAGAAGCACCGGCUAACUACGUGCCAGCAGCCGCGGUAAUUC